GGGGAUUUGGCUCAGUGGUAGAGCGCUUGCCUAGCAAGCGCAAGGCCCUGGGUUCGAUCCACAGCUCCA
Rattus norvegicus (Norway rat) is the source of this 69-nucleotide non-coding RNA. NCBI's taxonomy places the organism in Eukaryota, Metazoa, Chordata, Mammalia, Rodentia, Muridae. The record is from Rfam.